RNAcentral lists this long non-coding RNA (313 nucleotides) under Homo sapiens (human). RNAcentral describes it as "non-protein coding lnc-EVI2A-3:3". Lineage: Eukaryota; Metazoa; Chordata; Mammalia; Primates; Hominidae. The record is from RNAcentral.
GACUCUGCGAGCACCGCUCCCGCCCGGUCAGGGGCAGGUCCCGCGCCCGCCGCCUGCGGGACCCGAACCGGCGUCUUGAGAAGCCCGGCCCUCCUCCCUCCUCUCUCGCCCCGCGCCCGCCGCGAGCGAUGCCCCGAGACCCAGCCCACGCCUAGAGCGGGCAGCGGCCUGGCGGUGGGGUCGAAAGCUACGGCACAGAGCCGUGCCUGAGUCGGAAAGAAGCCUCGGCGGAAGCGGAAGCGGAAGCGGAGAUGGCCGCAGCGGAGCGGGCAGGGGCCGUGUGUGACCCUGGCCGGGUCAUUUCCGUCGGGCC